AGAGUUUGAUCCUGGCUCAGGAUGAACGCUAGCGGCAGGCUUAACACAUGCAAGUCGAGGGGCAGCACGGGUAGCAAUACUUGGUGGCGACCGGCGCACGGGUGAGUAACGCGUAUGCAACCUUCCUUUAACUGGGACAUAGCCCGGCGAAAGUCGGAUUAAUUUCCCAUAACAUUACAUGAAGGCAUCUGAUUGUAAUUAAAGCUCCGGCGGUUAAAGAUGGGCAUGCGUGUCAUUAGCUAGUUGGUAAGGUAACGGCUUACCAAGGCUACGAUGACUAGGGGUUCUGAGAGGAUGAUCCCCCACACUGGUACUGAGACACGGUCCAGACUCCUACGGGAGGCAGCAGUGGGGAAUUUUGCGCAAUGGGCGAAAGCCUGACGCAGCAACGCCGCGUGAGUGAUGAAGGCUUUCGGGUCGUAAAGCUCUGUCGAGGGGAAAGAAGUGUAUUAUGGUUAAUACCCAUGAUACUUGACGGUACCCCUAAAGGAAGCACCGGCUAACUCCGUGCCAGCAGCCGCGGUAAUACGGGGGGUGCAAGCGUUGUUCGGAACUAUUGGGCGUAAAGCGCGUGUAGGCGGUUUGAUUAGUCUGAUGUGAAAGCCCUGGGCUCAACCCAGGAAGUGCAUUGGAAACUGUCAGACUUGAAUACGGGAGAGGGUAGUGGAAUUCCUAGUGUAGGAGUGAAAUCCGUAGAUAUUAGGAGGAACACCGGUGGCGAAGGCGGCUACCUGGACCGAUAUUGACGCUGAGACGCGAAAGCGUGGGUAGCAAACAGGAUUAGAUACCCUGGUAGUCC
RNAcentral lists this ribosomal RNA (799 nucleotides) under uncultured bacterium. RNAcentral's name for it is "bacterial SSU rRNA". It matches the Rfam family "Bacterial small subunit ribosomal RNA", at positions 8 to 796 of the family's 1533-position model. The record is from RNAcentral.